This 379-nucleotide long non-coding RNA is filed under the name Portunus trituberculatus (swimming crab). RNAcentral describes it as "uncharacterized LOC123503628". The record is from RNAcentral. Lineage: Eukaryota; Metazoa; Arthropoda; Malacostraca; Decapoda; Portunidae.
CCAGGGGUCAUGUUGCUUGUGUGGCCGGUGUGAAUGUGACCGGGGGCUUGGCAGGGAUGACUGGGGCCUUGGCAGGGGUGAUGGGGGGCUUGGCAAGGGUGGCAGGGGGCGAGGUACAGCCAAUACCCCCCGGCAUACAUGCCCUCAAAACUGCAGGAGAUGGAGGACAGCGGGGAGAUGAAGGAAUUUGAGUAGCGGGCGGUCCGAGCGGCCCACAGCACCCACACCACCUCCGUACUCCACCACCCGCUUGUCAGGAAAUUCACCAACCACAUCAUGAAAACAGGAAACAAACCUCUGGCCAGGGAACUUGUCGAGAAGGUCAAAGGUCACAACUAGCCAGCCGGGAGUGGGUCAGGAUAGCACGGCUGGCUGUGGU